This 268-nucleotide long non-coding RNA is filed under the name Phoenix dactylifera (date palm). Its description in RNAcentral is "long non-coding RNA (PDAC_LNC002988)". The record is from RNAcentral. Lineage: Eukaryota; Viridiplantae; Streptophyta; Magnoliopsida; Arecales; Arecaceae.
AAACCACCAUGCAACAUGUUGCUUCAUCUAUAUAAUCAUGGACCAUUGCAUGAUUACUGAACGAUUGCAAUUUCAAAAGUGAAUAUAUCCAGUUCAAUCAUGAAGGAAAAAAAUAUAGACUUGAGGGGAAAAAAUAAAAUAUAUACUUCUUUAUUAUAUUAACUGAGAGAGGGGAAAAAACACUUGAUUAUAGCACCCUAUAGAAUUUCUCUUAAAAGAUCGUAUAAUACGUUGAUCAUGAAAAAUAUCGAGCACACCGUAGUCACAC